UAGUCAAUAUAUUGGGGUUGCCAUCGAA
Molecule: small RNA, 28 nt
Filed under: Bombyx mori (domestic silkworm)
Lineage: Eukaryota; Metazoa; Arthropoda; Insecta; Lepidoptera; Bombycidae
Description: ovarian small RNA-22969
Source: RNAcentral